GAUGAACGCUGGCGGCGUGCCUAAUACAUGCAAGUCGAGCGAACAGACGAGGAGCUUGCUCCUUUGACGUUAGCGGCGGACGGGUGAGUAACACGUAGGUAACCUACCUAUAAGACUGGGAUAACUUCGGGAAACCGGAGCUAAUACCGGAUAAUAUUUCGAACCGCAUGGUUCGAUAGUGAAAGACGGCUUUGCUAUCACUUAUAGAUGGACCUGCGCCGUAUUAGCUAGUUGGUAAGGUAACGGCUUACCAAGGCAACGAUACGUAGCCGACCUGAUAGGGUGAUCGGCCACACUGGAACUGAGACACGGUCCAGACUCCUACGGGAGGCAGCAGUAGGGAAUCUUCCGCAGUGGGCGAAAGCCUGACGGAGCAACGCCGCGUGAGUGAUGAAGGUCUUCGGAUCGUAAAACUCUGUUAUUAGGGAAGAACAAACGUGUAAGUAACUGUGCACGUCUUGACGGUACCUAAUCAGAAAGCCACGGCUAACUACGUG
This 497-nucleotide ribosomal RNA is filed under the name uncultured bacterium. Its description in RNAcentral is "partial 16S ribosomal RNA". It matches the Rfam family "Bacterial small subunit ribosomal RNA", at positions 28 to 507 of the family's 1533-position model. The record is from RNAcentral.